GGAGCCGUGGCCGAGCGGCUAGGCAAAGCUCUGCAAAAGCUUCUACAGCAGUUCGAAUCUGCUCGGCUCCU
This 71-nucleotide transfer RNA is filed under the name Bacteroidia bacterium. RNAcentral's name for it is "tRNA-Cys". It matches the Rfam family "tRNA". Rfam says of the family: Transfer RNA (tRNA) molecules are approximately 80 nucleotides in length. Lineage: Bacteria; Pseudomonadati; Bacteroidota; Bacteroidia. The record is from RNAcentral.